This 301-nucleotide ribosomal RNA is filed under the name uncultured bacterium. RNAcentral describes it as "partial 16S ribosomal RNA". It matches the Rfam family "Bacterial small subunit ribosomal RNA", at positions 509 to 807 of the family's 1533-position model. The record is from RNAcentral.
CAGUCGCCGCGGUAAUACGGAGGGCGCGAGCGUUACCCGGAUUUACUGGGCGUAAAGGGCGUGUAGGCGGCCUGGGGCGUCCCAUGUGAAAGGCCACGGCUCAACCGUGGAGGAGCGUGGGAUACGCUCAGGCUAGAGGGUGGGAGAGGAUGGUGGAAUUCCCGGAGUAGCGGUGAAAUGCGCAGAUACCGGGAGGAACGCCGAUGGCGAAGGCAGCCACCUGGUCCACUUCUGACGCUGAGGCGCGAAAGCGUGGGGAGCAAACCGGAUUAGAUACCCCCGUAGUCCCUGUCUCUUAUAC